This 336-nucleotide unclassified non-coding RNA is filed under the name soil metagenome. RNAcentral's name for it is "partial contains 5.8S ribosomal RNA, internal transcribed spacer 2, and large subunit ribosomal RNA". The stretch from base 1 to 120 matches the Rfam family "5.8S ribosomal RNA", at positions 35 to 154 of the family's 154-position model. The record is from RNAcentral.
GAUGAAGAACGUAGCGAAAUGCGAUAAGUAAUGUGAGUUGCAGAAUUCAGUGAAUCAUCGAAUCUUUGAACGCACAUUGCGCCCGCCAGUAUUCUGGCGGGCAUGCCUGUUCGAGCGUCAUUUCAACCAUCAAGCCCCAGGCUUGUGUUGGGGACCUGCGGCUGCCGCAGGCCCUGAAAACCAGUGGCGGGCUCGCUGUCACACCGGGCGUAGUAGAUUUUAUCUCGCUCAGGGCGUGCUGCGGGUCCCGGCCGUUAAAAGCCUUUUUUUACCCAAGGUUGACCUCGGAUCAGGUAGGAAGACCCGCUGAACUUAAGCAUAUCAAUAAGCGGAGGA